This 55-nucleotide transfer RNA is filed under the name Serratia marcescens. Its description in RNAcentral is "tRNA-Arg". It matches the Rfam family "tRNA", at positions 8 to 59 of the family's 71-position model. From Rfam's summary of the family: Transfer RNA (tRNA) molecules are approximately 80 nucleotides in length. Their secondary structure includes four short double-helical elements and three loops (D, anti-codon, and T loops). Lineage: Bacteria; Pseudomonadati; Pseudomonadota; Gammaproteobacteria; Enterobacterales; Yersiniaceae. The record is from RNAcentral.
UAGCUCAGUUGGAUAGAGCAACGGCCUUCUAAGCCGUAGGUCAUAGGUUCGAAUC